UCUUCGGUAGUAUAUCGGAUAGUACACCCGCCUGUCAUCUCUUCUGAUACUUGCGCUCGCGGGAGAGCGGGGUUCGACUCCCCGCCGAAGAG
Molecule: non-coding RNA, 92 nt
Organism: Schizophyllum amplum
Lineage: Eukaryota; Fungi; Basidiomycota; Agaricomycetes; Agaricales; Schizophyllaceae
Source: the annotation of a GenBank genome assembly